CCCCUAGAUGUUCUGGGCCGCACGCGCGCUACACUGAACAGUUCAACAAGUCUUAACCUUGGCCGAAAGGUCUGGGUAAUCUUUGAACGCUGUUCGUGAUUGGGAUAGACCUUUGCAAUUAUGGGUCUUCAACGAGGAAUUCCUAGUAAACGCAAGUCAUCAGCUUGCAUUGAUUACGUCCCUGCCCUUUGUACACACCGCCCGUCGCACCUACCGAUUGAAUGGUCCGGUGAAAUCUCGGGACGGCGGCUUGGUCGCUUGCGUCCGACUGCUGAAACUUGAUUAAACCAUAUCAUUUAGAGGAAGGUGAAGUCGUAACA
RNAcentral lists this ribosomal RNA (320 nucleotides) under uncultured eukaryote. RNAcentral's name for it is "partial 18S ribosomal RNA". It matches the Rfam family "Eukaryotic small subunit ribosomal RNA", at positions 1470 to 1796 of the family's 1831-position model. The record is from RNAcentral.